GCGUGCCUAAUACAUGCAAGUCGAGCGAACAGAUGAGAAGCUUGCUUCUCUGAUGUUAGCGGCGGACGGGUGAGUAACACGUGGGUAACCUACCUAUAAGACUGGGAUAACUCCGGGAAACCGGGGCUAAUACCAGAUAAUACAUUGAACCGCAUGGUUCAAUGUUGAAAGACGGUUUCGGCUGUCACUUAUAGAUGGACCCGCGCCGUAUUAGCUAGUUGGUAAGGUAACGGCUUACCAAGGCAACGAUACGUAGCCGACCUGAGAGGGUGAUCGGCCACACUGGAACUGAGACACGGUCCAGACUCCUACGGGAGGCAGCAGUAGGGAAUCUUCCGCAAUGGGCGAAAGCCUGACGGAGCAACGCCGCGUGAGUGAUGAAGGUCUUAGGAUCGUAAAACUCUGUUGUUAGGGAAGAACAAAUUUGUUAGUAACUGAACAAGUCUUGACGGUACCUAACCAGAAAGCCACGGCUAACUACGUGCCAGCAGCCGCGGUAAUACGUAGGUGGCAAGCGUUAUCCGGAAUUAUUGGGCGUAAAGCGCGCGUAGGCGGUUUCUUAAGUCUGAUGUGAAAGCCCACGGCUCAACCGUGGAGGGUCAUUGGAAACUGGGGAACUUGAGUGCAGAAGAGGAGAGUGGAAUUCCAUGUGUAGUGGUGAAAUGCGCAGAGAUAUGGAGGAACACCAGUGGCGAAGGCGGCUCUCUGGUCUGUAACUGACGCUGAUGUGCGAAAGCGUGGGGAUCAAACAGGAUUUAAGAUUACCCUGGAAGUCCACACCGUAAACGAUGAAGUGCUAAGUGUUAGGGGGGUUUCCGCCCCUUAGUGCUGCAGCUAGCGCAUUAAGCACUCCGCCUGGGGAGUACGACCGCAAGGUUGAAACUCAAAGGAAUUGACGGGGACCCGCACAAGCGGUGGAGCAUGUGGUUUAAUUCGAAGCAACGCGAAGAACCUUACCAAAUCUUGACAUCCUUUGACCGCUCUAGAGAUAGAGUUUUCCCCUUCGGGGGACAAAGUGACAGGUGGUGCAUGGUUGUCGUCAGCUCGUGUCGUGAGAUGCUGGGUUAAGUCCCGCAACGAGCGCAACCCUUAAGCUUAGUUGCCAUCAUUAAGUUGGGCACUCUAGGUUGACUGCCGGUGACAAACCGGAGGAAGGUGGGGAUGACGUCAAAUCAUCAUGCCCCUUAUGAUUUGGGCUACACACGUGCUACAAUGGAUAAUACAAAGGGCAGCGAACCCGCGAGGUCAAGCAAAUCCCAUAAAAUUAUUCUCAGUUCGGAUUGUAGUCUGCAACUCGACUACAUGAAGCUGGAAUCGCUAGUAAUCGUAGAUCAGCAUGCUACGGUGAAUACGUUCCCGGGUCUUGUACACACCGCCCGUCACACCACGAGAGUUUGUAACACCCAGAAGCGCGGUGGAGUAGCCUUUUAUUAGGAGCUAGCCGUCGAAGGUGGGACAGAUGAUUGGGGUGAAG
RNAcentral lists this ribosomal RNA (1474 nucleotides) under uncultured bacterium. RNAcentral describes it as "bacterial SSU rRNA". It matches the Rfam family "Bacterial small subunit ribosomal RNA". The record is from RNAcentral.